GGGGAAUCUUAGACAAUGGGGGCAACCCUGAUCUAGCCAUGCCGCGUGAGUGAUGAAGGCCUUAGGGUUGUAAAGCUCUUUCAGCUGUGAAGAUAAUGACGGUAGCAGCAGAAGAAGUCCCGGCUAACUCCGUGCCAGCAGCCGCGGUAAUACGGAGGGGACUAGCGUUGUUCGGAAUUACUGGGCGUAAAGCGCACGUAGGCGGAUCAGAAAGUUGGGGGUGAAAUCCCGGGGCUCAACCCCGGAACUGCCUUCAAAACUAUUGGUCUGGAGUUCGAGAGAGGUGAGUGGAAUACCGAGUGUAGUGGUGAAAUUCGUAGAUAUUCGGUGGAACACCAGUGGCGAAGGCGGCUCACUGGCUCGAUACUGACGUUGAGGUGCGAAAGCGUGGGGAGCAAAC
This 400-nucleotide ribosomal RNA is filed under the name uncultured bacterium. Its description in RNAcentral is "bacterial SSU rRNA". It matches the Rfam family "Bacterial small subunit ribosomal RNA", at positions 356 to 773 of the family's 1533-position model. The record is from RNAcentral.